Molecule: non-coding RNA, 176 nt
Organism: Flavobacterium sp. A45
Lineage: Bacteria; Pseudomonadati; Bacteroidota; Flavobacteriia; Flavobacteriales; Flavobacteriaceae
Source: Rfam
ACGAUGAAGAGUUUGAUCCUGGCUCAGGAUGAACGCUAGCGGCAGGCUUAACACAUGCAAGUCGAGGGGUAUAGUUCUUCGGGACUAGAGACCGGCGCACGGGUGCGUAACGCGUAUGCAAUCUACCUUUUACAGAGGGAUAGCCCAGAGAAAUUUGGAUUAAUACCUCAUAGUAU